AGUGAACGCUGGCGGCAGGCCUAACACAUGCAAGUCGAACGGCAGCACAGAGGAGCUUGCUCCUUGGGUGGCGAGUGGCGAACGGGUGAGGAAUGCAUCGGAAUCUGCCCAAUCGUGGGGGAUAACCUCGGGAAACCGGGACUAAUACCGCAUACGACCUUCGGGUGAAAGCAGGGGAUCGCAAGACCUUGCGCGAUGGGAUGAGCCGAUGCCGGAUUAGCUAGUUGGCGGGGUAAAGGCCCACCAAGGCGACGAUCCGUAGCUGGUCUGAGAGGAUGAUCAGCCACACUGGAACUGAGACACGGUCCAGACUCCUACGGGAGGCAGCAGUGGGGAAUAUUGGACAAUGGGCGCAAGCCUGAUCCAGCCAUGCCGCGUGGGUGAAGAAGGCCUUCGGGUUGUAAAGCCCUUUUGUUGGGAAAGAAAAGCGGCCGGUUAAUACCCGGUUGUUCUGACGGUACCCAAAGAAUAAGCACCGGCUAACUUCGUGCCAGCCGCCGCAGUAA
RNAcentral lists this ribosomal RNA (506 nucleotides) under uncultured bacterium. RNAcentral describes it as "partial 16S ribosomal RNA". It matches the Rfam family "Bacterial small subunit ribosomal RNA", at positions 29 to 523 of the family's 1533-position model. The record is from RNAcentral.